Molecule: unclassified non-coding RNA, 219 nt
Filed under: Hygrocybe conica
Lineage: Eukaryota; Fungi; Basidiomycota; Agaricomycetes; Agaricales; Hygrophoraceae
Description: partial internal transcribed spacer 2
Source: RNAcentral
AAUCCUCAAAAGAAAAGCUUAACUGUUUCUCUUUUGGAAUUGGAGCGUGCUGGCCUUUUGUUAGAAAGCCCGGCUCCUCUGAAAUGCAUUAGCGAUGUGACAUCCGCAUGGCACCACGCUUCUCUGGCAUUGAUAGUAUCUUCAUGCUUGAGCGUUUUUGUGCAGCUGUGGAAAGCUUUGCUCGCUCAUAACCUGAUGGGUCAGCCCAUCCUUUGACCA